RNAcentral lists this transfer RNA (66 nucleotides) under Schistosoma mansoni. The record is from RNAcentral. Lineage: Eukaryota; Metazoa; Platyhelminthes; Trematoda; Strigeidida; Schistosomatidae.
CAGUGGCCGAGUGGAUAAAGCGAUGGCGUUUGAAGCGAACGGUACUGGGUUCGAUCCCAGAGUGAA